This 447-nucleotide ribosomal RNA is filed under the name Corynebacterium matruchotii. RNAcentral describes it as "bacterial SSU rRNA". It matches the Rfam family "Bacterial small subunit ribosomal RNA", at positions 28 to 467 of the family's 1533-position model. The record is from RNAcentral. Lineage: Bacteria; Bacillati; Actinomycetota; Actinomycetes; Mycobacteriales; Corynebacteriaceae.
GACGAACGCUGGCGGCGUGCUUAACACAUGCAAGUCGAACGGAAAGGCCCCCACUUUUUUGGUGGGGGUGCUCGAGUGGCGAACGGGUGAGUAACACGUGGGUGAUCUGCCCUGUACUUCGGGAUAAGCUUGGGAAACAGGGUCUAAUACCGGAUAGGACCAUGGUUUAGUGUCUCAUGGUGGAAAGAUUAUUGUUUUGGUGCAGGAUGAGCUCGCGGCCUAUCAGCUUGUUGGUGGGGUAAUGGCCUACCAAGGCGUCGACGGGUAGCCGGCCUGAGAGGGUGGACGGCCACAUUGGGACUGAGAUACGGCCCAGACUCCUACGGGAGGCAGCAGUGGGGAAUAUUGCACAAUGGGCGCAAGCCUGAUGCAGCGACGCCGCGUGGGGGAUGACGGCCUUCGGGUUGUAAACUCCUUUCGUUAGGGACGAAGCCGCACCUGUUUUGG